AUACGGAGGGUGCAAGCGUUGUCCGGAUUUAUUGGGUUUAAAGGGUGCGUAGGCGGCCCGUUAAGUCAGUGGCGAAAGGUAUCAGCUUAACUGAUGAAGUGCCAUUGAAACUGAAGGGCUUGAGUACAGACGAGGUAGGCGGAAUUUAUGGUGUAGCGGUGAAAUGCAUAGAUACCAUAAAGAACACCGAUAGCGAAGGCAGCUUACUGGAGUGAGACUGACGCUGAGGCACGAAAGCGUGGGGAGCGAACAGGAUUAGAAACCCCAGUAGUCC
This 274-nucleotide ribosomal RNA is filed under the name uncultured bacterium. RNAcentral describes it as "partial 16S ribosomal RNA". It matches the Rfam family "Bacterial small subunit ribosomal RNA", at positions 523 to 796 of the family's 1533-position model. The record is from RNAcentral.